This 729-nucleotide ribosomal RNA is filed under the name Boletaceae sp. RNAcentral's name for it is "LSU rRNA". It matches the Rfam family "Eukaryotic large subunit ribosomal RNA", at positions 53 to 772 of the family's 3401-position model. The record is from RNAcentral. Lineage: Eukaryota; Fungi; Basidiomycota; Agaricomycetes; Boletales; Boletaceae.
CGAGAAAAGAAACUAACAAGGAUUCCCCUAGUAACUGCGAGUGAAGCGGGAAAAGCUCAAAUUUUGAAUCUGGCGGUCUUUCAGCCGUCCGAGUUGUAAUCUAGAGAAGUGUCUUCCGCGCUGGACCGUGUACAAGUCUCCUGGAAGGGAGCGUCAUAGAGGGUGAGAAUCCCGUCUUUGACACGGACCGCCAGGGCUUUGUGAUGCACUCUCAACGAGUCGAGUUGUUUGGGAAUGCAGCUCAAAAUGGGUGGUAAACUCCAUCUAAAGCUAAAUAUAGGCGAGAGACCGAUAGCGAACAAGUACCGUGAGGGAAAGAUGAAAAGAACUUUGGAAAGAGAGUUAAACAGUACGUGAAAUUGCUGAAAGGGAAACGCUUGAUGUCAGUCGCGUUCGUCAAGGAUCAACCUUGCUCUUUUGCUGGGUGGACUUCUUGGCGGACGGGUCAGCAUCAGUUUCAGUCGCUGUACAAUGGUGGAGGGAAUGUGGCACUUUUUGGAGUGUGUUUAUAGCCUUUCAUCGUAUGCAGCGGUCGGGACUGAGGAACUCGGCACGAAUGGCUUGUUCAUUUUGUGUCUAGGAUGCUGGCAUAAUGGCCUUAAGCGACCCGUCUUGAAACACGGACCAAGGAGUCUAACAUGCCUGCAAGUGUUUGGGUGGAAAACCCCGAGCGCGUAAUGAAAGUGAAAGUUGAGACCUCUGUCAUGGAGGGCAUCGACGCCCGGUCCA